This 305-nucleotide ribosomal RNA is filed under the name uncultured Thermus sp. RNAcentral's name for it is "bacterial SSU rRNA". It matches the Rfam family "Bacterial small subunit ribosomal RNA", at positions 1077 to 1382 of the family's 1533-position model. Lineage: Bacteria; Thermotogati; Deinococcota; Deinococci; Thermales; Thermaceae. The record is from RNAcentral.
GGGUUAAGUCCCGCAACGAGCGCAACCCCGCCGUUAGUUGCCAGCGGUUCGGCCGGGCACUCUAACGGGACUGCCCGCGAAAGCGGGAGGAAGGAGGGGACGACGUCUGGUCAGCAUGGCCCUUACGGCCUGGGCGACACACGUGCUACAAUGCCCACUACAAAGCGAUGCCACCCGGCAACGGGGAGCUAAAUCGCAAAAAGGUGGGCCCAGUUCGGAUUGGGGUCUGCAACCCGACCCCAUGAAGCCGGAAUCGCUAGUAAUCGCGGAUCAGCCAUGCCGCGGUGAAUACGUUCCCGGGCCUU